RNAcentral lists this ribosomal RNA (402 nucleotides) under uncultured microorganism. Its description in RNAcentral is "bacterial SSU rRNA". It matches the Rfam family "Archaeal small subunit ribosomal RNA", at positions 330 to 735 of the family's 1478-position model. The record is from RNAcentral.
GUGCACCAGGCGCGAAACCUCCGCAAUACACGAAAGUGUGACGGGCCAUCCCGAGUGCCGUCCGCUGAGGACGGCUUUUCCCCAGUGUACAUAGCUGGGGGAAUAAGGAGAGGGCAAGCCUGGUGUCAGCCGCCGCGGUAAUACCAGCUCUCCGAGUGGUGGGGACGCUUAUUGGGCCUAAAGCAUCCGUAGCCGGCUGGGCAAGUCCUCCGUUAAAUCCAACGAUUCAAUCGUUGGGCUGCGGGGAUACUGUCCAGCUUGGGGGCGGGAGAGGCCGACGGUAUUCCCCGGGGUAGGGGUGAAAUCCUAUAAUCCCGGGAGGACCACCAGUGGCGAAGGCUGUCGGCUAGAACGCGCCCGACGGUGAGGGAUGAAAGCUGGGGGAGCGAACCGGAUUAGAUA